GACGAACGCUGACGGUGUGCUUUAGACAUGCAAGUCGAACGAGAAAGCCCUUCGGGGUUAGUAAAGUGGCGAACGGGUGAGUAACACGUGGGCAAUCUGCCCCUCGCAGGGGGACAACCGGAGGAAACCCCGGCUAAUACCCCGUAAGUUCAAAGGGAGGCAUCUCCCCUUGAAGAAAGGUAGCUUCGGCCAUCCGGCGAGGGAUGAGCCCGCGGUGCAUUAGCUAGUUGGUGGGGUAACGGCCCACCAAGGCGACGANGCAUAGCUGGCCUGAGAGGAUGAUCAGCCACACUGGGACUGAGACACGGCCCAGACUCCUACGGGAGGCAGCAGUCGGGAAUCUUGCGCAAUGGGCGAAAGCCUGACGCAGCAACA
RNAcentral lists this ribosomal RNA (375 nucleotides) under uncultured bacterium. RNAcentral describes it as "bacterial SSU rRNA". It matches the Rfam family "Bacterial small subunit ribosomal RNA", at positions 28 to 396 of the family's 1533-position model. The record is from RNAcentral.